Molecule: non-coding RNA, 920 nt
Organism: Monodelphis domestica (gray short-tailed opossum)
Lineage: Eukaryota; Metazoa; Chordata; Mammalia; Didelphimorphia; Didelphidae
Source: RefSeq, a predicted model, not a curated record
AAGCGGGGCAGGCUAGGGGCGGGGCCUGGGGCGGGGCCUCCCGCUCCGACUCUCGCCGCUCCGUCCAUCCCCAGCGAGAGAAAGACAGAGAGAGUCGGAGGAGCCCGCGGUGCCUCGGCCCAGACGUCGCCUCUCUAGCAGCCCGCGGCAUCAUGGAGCCUCCGGGCCCUGGCUGGGCCUCGCGCCCGCGCCCCCUCCCCGGCCCCGGCCGGGCCCCGAGCCUCCUGCUCCAGGCGCUGCUACUGCCGCUGCUGCUCGGGGGAGCCCCAGGUGCCCAGGCUGUGCCCCAGGUAUCAGCCCCCCACUUGGUGGAAGUCUUGAAAGGGGAGCCAGUGACCCUGAACUGUGCCCUCUUCAGGUCCGGAAGCAAAGAAAAAGUGGUGCUGGAGUGGUUUAAUAUAAGCCGCUCAGGAGCCUCCACCUUGCUGGCUCUUGCUGAGGGACGAAUGGGAUCUCUGAAGAAGACUGAGGACACAGUGCCAGGCCGAAACACUCGCUUUCAACUGCUUCCCAACGGGAACCUUCAGCUGGCCUCUGCUGAGGCGGGGGAUGAGCAGGACUAUAUGUGCAGAUUCAGUACUGGACAGCAGACAGGGUAGAGGCCACCAUCCGACUCCGAGUCUUUGUGGCCCCUGAGCCCCCUGAGGUCAUACCCAACAAGGGAACAAUUUCAGUGAUUGACGCCAUAGCCCAAGAGAUAGCCACCUGUACCAGUCGAAAUGCCAACCCUGCCCCCAACAUCACUUGGUACCGGAAUGGGGAGGUUCUGGAGGUUCCCACAGAGCUGAACAGGGAGCUAUAUGCCGUGAGCCGCACUGUCCGAGAAGCCUCCGGCCUCCACUCCCUCACCAGCAUCCUCUACUUUCGGCCCAAGAAGGCUGAUCGCGAUGUCGCCUUUCACUGCAGGGUCAACUACCACC